Molecule: transfer RNA, 35 nt
Filed under: Amolops tuberodepressus
Lineage: Eukaryota; Metazoa; Chordata; Amphibia; Anura; Ranidae
Description: partial tRNA-Arg
Source: RNAcentral
GAAUCCAAGGAGGCCUCGAAUGAGCUGAAUGAGGU